CAACGCGUGAGGAACCUGCCUCAAAGAGGGGGACAACAGUUGGAAACGACUGCUAAUACCGCAUAAGCCCACGGCUCGGCAUCGAGCAGAGGGAAAAGGAGCAAUCCGCUUUGAGAUGGCCUCGCGUCCGAUUAGCUAGUUGGUGAGGUAAUGGCCCACCAAGGCGACGAUCGGUAGCCGGACUGAGAGGUCGAACGGCCACAUUGGGACUGAGACACGGCCCAG
This 225-nucleotide ribosomal RNA is filed under the name uncultured bacterium. Its description in RNAcentral is "partial 16S ribosomal RNA". It matches the Rfam family "Bacterial small subunit ribosomal RNA", at positions 111 to 334 of the family's 1533-position model. The record is from RNAcentral.